RNAcentral lists this ribosomal RNA (308 nucleotides) under Leptospirillum rubarum. Its description in RNAcentral is "23S ribosomal RNA". It matches the Rfam family "Bacterial large subunit ribosomal RNA", at positions 2408 to 2715 of the family's 2925-position model. Lineage: Bacteria; Pseudomonadati; Nitrospirota; Nitrospiria; Nitrospirales; Nitrospiraceae. The record is from RNAcentral.
GGGCUUAGUGAUCCGGUGGUACCUCGUGGGAGGGCCAUCGCUCAGCGGACAAAAGGUACGCCGGGGAUAACAGGCUGAUCUCCCCCAAGAGUUCACAUCGACGGGGAGGUUUGGCACCUCGAUGUCGACUCAUCGCAUCCUGGGGCUGAAGUUGGUCCCAAGGGUUGGGCUGUUCGCCCAUUAAAGCGGUACGAGAGUUGGGUUCAGAACGUCGUGAGACAGUUCGGUCCCUAUCUGUUGUGGGCGUUGGAUAUUUGAGAGGAUCGGUCCCUAGUACGAGAGGACCGGGAUGGACUGACCUCUAGUGU